UACAGAGGUCUCAAGCGUUGUUCGGAUUCAUUGGGCGUAAAGGGUGCGUAGGCGGCGCGGUAAGUCGGGUGUGAAAUUUUCGAGGCUUAAUUUCGAAAACUGCAUUCGAUACUGCCGUGCUAGAGGACUGGAGAGGAGACUGGAAUUUUACGGUGUAGCGGUGAAAUGCGUAGAUAUCGUAAGGAAGACCAGUGGCGAAGGCGGG
This 205-nucleotide ribosomal RNA is filed under the name uncultured bacterium. RNAcentral's name for it is "partial 16S ribosomal RNA". It matches the Rfam family "Bacterial small subunit ribosomal RNA", at positions 524 to 725 of the family's 1533-position model. The record is from RNAcentral.